RNAcentral lists this ribosomal RNA (500 nucleotides) under uncultured bacterium. RNAcentral describes it as "partial 16S ribosomal RNA". It matches the Rfam family "Bacterial small subunit ribosomal RNA", at positions 29 to 523 of the family's 1533-position model. The record is from RNAcentral.
AUUGAACGCUGGCGGCAUGCCUUACACAUGCAAGUCGAACGGCAGCACGGGAGCAAUCCUGGUGGCGAGUGGCGAACGGGUGAGUAAUACAUCGGAACGUGCCCAGUAGUGGGGGAUAGCCCGGCGAAAGCCGGAUUAAUACCGCAUACGACCUACGGGUGAAAGCGGGGGAUCGCAAGACCUCGCGCUAUUGGAGCGGCCGAUGUCAGAUUAGCUAGUUGGUGGGGUAAAAGCCUACCAAGGCGACGAUCUGUAGCUGGUCUGAGAGGACGACCAGCCACACUGGGACUGAGACACGGCCCAGACUCCUACGGGAGGCAGCAGUGGGGAAUUUUGGACAAUGGGCGCAAGCCUGAUCCAGCCAUGCCGCGUGCGGGAAGAAGGCCUUCGGGUUGUAAACCGCUUUUGUCAGGGAAGAAACGUUUCGAGCUAAUAUCUCGAAGUAAUGACGGUACCUGAAGAAUAAGCACCGGCUAACUACGUGCCAGCCGCCGCAGUAA